AACGAACGCUGGCGGCAGGCUUAACACAUGCAAGUCGAACGCGUGUAGCAAUACACGAGUGGCGCACGGGUGAGUAACGCGUGGAUAUCUGCCUUUUGGUUCGGAAUAACUCCGGGAAACUGGAGCUAAUACCGGAUGGUUCCUACGGGAUAAAGAUUUAUCGCCAAAAGAUGAGUCCGCGUACGAUUAGCUAGUUGGUGAGGUAAUGGCUCACCAAGGCGACGAUCGUUAGCUGGUCUGAGAGGACGAUCAGCCACACUGGGACUGAGACACGGCCCAGACUCCUACGGGAGGCAGCAGUGGGAAUAUUGGACAAUGGGGCAACCCUGAUCCAGCCAUGCCGCGUGAGUGAUGAAGGCCUGGUGUAAGCUCUUU
This 375-nucleotide ribosomal RNA is filed under the name uncultured bacterium. RNAcentral's name for it is "bacterial SSU rRNA". It matches the Rfam family "Bacterial small subunit ribosomal RNA", at positions 29 to 436 of the family's 1533-position model. The record is from RNAcentral.